GGUGGGGUAAUGGCCUACCAAGGCGAAGACGCUUAGCUGGUCUGAGAGGAUGAUCAGCCACACUGGGACUGAGACACGGCCCAGACUCCUACGGGAGGCAGCAGUGGGGAAUAUUGGACAAUGGGCGCAAGCCUGAUCCAGCCACGCCGCGUGAGUGAUGAAGGCCUUCGGGUCGUAAAGCUCUGUGGGGAGGGACGAACGGCGCCAUGAAGAGUGGCGAUUGACGGUACCUCCUUAGCAAGCACCGGCUAACUUCGUGCCAGCAGCCGCGGUAAUACGAAGGGUGCAAACGUUGCUCGGAAUCAUUGGGCGUAAAGCGCACGUAGGCGGCUUUCUAAGUCGGAUGUGAAAUCCCUCGGCUUAACCGAGGACGUGCAUCCGAAACUGGGAGGCUUGAGUAUGGAAGAGGGUCGCAGAAUUCCCGGUGUAGAGGUGAAAUUCGUAGAUAUCGGGAGGAAUACCAGUGGCG
Molecule: ribosomal RNA, 469 nt
Filed under: uncultured bacterium
Lineage: Bacteria
Description: bacterial SSU rRNA
Rfam family: Bacterial small subunit ribosomal RNA
Source: RNAcentral